UAUUCCAAUUCUGGCUAUGACACGGCAGUCAAAUAUGUAAAUUUGCCUAACAUUCUGAAACCGGUGGGAUAUUUUUGGGGAAUACUGUGUGGUGUCGAGUGUGGAAAAAUGGGAAAUUGAUGGACAAAUUGAUUAUGUCGUGCUUUGGCAGUUUCUGCAACCAAUAAUGCAUGUUAGGCAAACAAUUGCAGAUAUUAGCCCCAUUAACUGCUCGCCUGGAAGGUUGUCUCAAAAUGGAAAAUAGAAAUCAAUUAGGUCUUUGCGUCAGACGAACUCAUAAAGGCAUUGGCAAAACAUCGGCCCAAGUGCAAAUUGUGUCAACCGAAGUCUAGGAAAAUUGCCUUGGAACCUUCAAGGGUGCGGCAUUAUCGCAAAAGGGCAGAGGAACUCGUUCGUUUUCCCUGGCCUUUUGUGUGCAUCGAAGUAAAAGUAAAGCAUAACACACAGGCGGGCGCACCAGCCACAAAAUACGACCUCCACAUCCAGCUCCACAACCAGCGCCAGCUCCAUGCACAUGGCAACUGGCAGCACUGGAUGCCCCCAGAUCCGAAUCCCAGUUCUCCUCGACUCCGCCCGUUCGGAAUCCCUGCAUAAAUGUGGCUAAAAUGUAAUGCAAACAAUUGAAAACUGUCAAUGCGGGUGGCCAAAGAAAAGAAGUUUCAGCUGCCUAAGUGGCUCCAGCAAAAUUUAACUUAAAGAAUUAUAUACAAAUCAACUUAAA
This is a long non-coding RNA of Drosophila yakuba, 721 nucleotides long. RefSeq lists it as uncharacterized. Lineage: Eukaryota; Metazoa; Arthropoda; Insecta; Diptera; Drosophilidae. The record is from RefSeq and is a predicted model, not a curated record. The transcript has 2 exons.